RNAcentral lists this ribosomal RNA (372 nucleotides) under uncultured organism. RNAcentral describes it as "partial 16S ribosomal RNA". It matches the Rfam family "Bacterial small subunit ribosomal RNA", at positions 527 to 896 of the family's 1533-position model. The record is from RNAcentral.
GUAGGUGGCAAGCGUUGUCCGGAAUUAUUGGGCGUAAAGCGCGCGCAGGGCGGUCCUUUAAGUCUGAUGUGAAAGCCCACGGCUCAACCGUGGAGGGUCAUUGGAAACUGGGGGACUUGAGUACAGAAGAGGAAAGCGGAAUUCCAAAUGUAGCGGUGAAAUGCGUAGAGAUUUGGAGGAACACCAGUGGCGAAGGCGGCUUUCUGGUCUGUAACUGACGCUGAGGCGCGAAAGCGUGGGGAGCAAACAGGAUUAGAUACCCUGGUAGUCCACGCCGUAAACGAUGAGUGCUAAGUGUUAGGGGGUUUCCGCCCCUUAGUGCUGCAGCUAACGCAUUAAGCACUCCGCCUGGGGAGUACGGCCGCAAGGCUG